Molecule: long non-coding RNA, 431 nt
Organism: Hibiscus syriacus
Lineage: Eukaryota; Viridiplantae; Streptophyta; Magnoliopsida; Malvales; Malvaceae
Exons: 3
Source: RefSeq, a predicted model, not a curated record
UCUUCUUGAAACAUUUUUUUAUUUUAGGAUAAUAUCAUCUCCACUCCUAUAAUAAAGGGAACAAUCUUACCUAGUAUCACAAGAAAGAGUAUAAUUGAUGUUGCUCGAAGCCACGGGUUUCAGGUACUUGUGCUGUUUUGAAGAUUCUUGAUGAAUUCAUCCUAUCGAAAUAAAGUUGUGUAUAUGGGAAUGUGUAUAACUGGACCUGGAAAAUCUGGUUAUGUUACAAUUUAGUAUUUUUUUUCUGUAUCUUGUGAAUGCUGCGGUGCUAUGGUGUUUCUCGAUUAAUUUUUGUUUCUUAAAGAAUGAUUACUUGUCACUUCAAAUUACAUCUUAGUGGUAUGAAUAAUCUCACAGUGGUUAAUUGUCACUCAGACUACAUCUUAGUGAUAGAAAGAAUGUCUCUAAGUGGUCACUUGUCACCUCGAGUG